CAUUUUAGGUUAUUGGGUCACAGAUUGCUGGCACACUCAUCCCUGUUCUCAAACAUCUUUUAAAGUUUGGUGAAGUGACAAGUAGUGGAAGAAGAGUUACUGAUAAGAGUCCUUGAGAGGCCCCUGUCAGCACUGUCAGUAUCAUCAUCAUCAUGGAACUGAUUACUCUGGAAGAGUCUAGGAAAAUAGAGAUGGAUGGGGAUACGUGUAGACCCUCCAGAAGGCAGGCA
Non-coding RNA from Vicugna pacos (alpaca), 230 nucleotides. The record is from RefSeq and is a predicted model, not a curated record. NCBI's taxonomy places the organism in Eukaryota, Metazoa, Chordata, Mammalia, Artiodactyla, Camelidae.